UGUUGGCCCAGACAAGCCUAUCUCAUUUGAUAAUGGGCUCUGAUUCCAGUGGAUUAUUGUAGGGAUUUUAUCUUGCAGUAAUCUCCAGGGAGAAAUGUACAAACAGCUGGGAGGACAAGAAGGAGCUUCAUUGUGUGGCUGGAAUUCCUUGAAACAGAAUUUUGGAGCUGCUCUGCAAAGCAAAAUGAAUCUUUUCUGUUUUUCACUGGAAGGUUCCAUGGACAGCUUAUAUGAGCCAGUCCAAGAGCAUCAAGAGUCCAAGGACACUAUGAGCAUUGACAGCAGGUCUAGCACUCCACUGACUACUUAUGUGAAAUGGGGCCCACCAGACAGAUCCAUGUCUUUGGUCGUCUUCAAGAGACUAAACACCCAAGAAAUUAAAAU
RNAcentral lists this long non-coding RNA (384 nucleotides) under Crocodylus porosus (Australian saltwater crocodile). RNAcentral's name for it is "lncRNA (ENSCPRG00005013109.1)". The record is from RNAcentral. Lineage: Eukaryota; Metazoa; Chordata; Crocodylia; Crocodylidae.